GGGCUCAUAGCUCAGUUGGAUAGAGCAACAGCCUUCUAAGCUGUGGGUCAGGGGUUCGAAUCCCUUUGGGCUCG
This 74-nucleotide transfer RNA is filed under the name Amygdalobacter nucleatus. Its description in RNAcentral is "tRNA-Arg". It matches the Rfam family "tRNA". Rfam says of the family: Transfer RNA (tRNA) molecules are approximately 80 nucleotides in length. The record is from RNAcentral. Lineage: Bacteria; Bacillati; Bacillota; Clostridia; Eubacteriales; Oscillospiraceae.